This 794-nucleotide ribosomal RNA is filed under the name uncultured bacterium. Its description in RNAcentral is "bacterial SSU rRNA". It matches the Rfam family "Bacterial small subunit ribosomal RNA", at positions 8 to 832 of the family's 1533-position model. The record is from RNAcentral.
AGAGUUUGAUUAUGGCUCAGNAUNNACGCUGGCGGCGCGCUUAACACAUGCAAGUCGCACGAGAAAGCAGGAGCAAUCCUGUGAGUACAGUGGCGUACGGGUGAGUAACACGUGGGUAAUCUACCUCUUAGUGGGGAAUAACGCUGGGAAACCGGCGCUAAUACCGCAUAAGCUCGAGAGAGGAAAGCAGCAAUGCGCUGAGAGAGGAGCCCGCGGCCGAUUAGCUAGUUGGGAGGGUAAAAGCCUACCAAGGCAUAGAUCGGUAGCCGGCCUGAGAGGGCACACGGCCACACUGGCACUGAAACACGGGCCAGACUCCUACGGGAGGCAGCAGUGGGGAAUCCUGCACAAUGGGGGCAACCCUGAUGCAGCGACGCCGCGUGAGCGAUGAAGCCCUUCGGGGUGUAAAGCUCUUUCGUCAGGGACGAUAAUGACGGUACCUGGAGAAGCAGCUGCGGCUAACUACGUGCCAGCAGCCGCGGUAAUACGUAGGCAGCGAGCGUUGUUCGGAGUUACUGGGCGUAAAGGGUGUGUAGGCGGUCUUCUAAGUUUGGUGUGAAAUCUCCCGGCUCAACCGGGAGGGUGCGCCGAAAACUGGGAGACUAGAGUGCGGGAUGGGAGAGUAGAAUUCCUGGUGUAGCGGUGAAAUGCGUAGAUAUCAGGAGGAAUACCGGUGGUGUAGACGGCUCUCUGGACCGCCACUGACGCUGAGACACGAAAGCGUGGGUAGCAAACAGGANNAGAUACCCUGGUAGUCCACGCCCUAAACGAUGCAUAUUUGGUGUAGGUCAUUC